CCUUCUUCAUUCUUCUCGCUCCAUUCUUCCUUCUCCUCGUCCAUAGGUGCUCGUGUCUCCAUGCUAGCCUCUUCACGAUCAUCACUUUGGUACCUAAGCAUGCAUAACACUUCCGUUUGAGGUAGGAGCCAACUCUCGUGUGAAUUUGAAUGGAGCUCGAAGAGGAAGGAGUUAACCUCGUUCUCGAUGGCGCGUGCACGUGCUCUUGUCAUUGGUCCUCUUGGUGCUUGUGGUGGUGAUGGAGUGUCCAUUGGAUGGACGAGGGAUGCUCCGCAUCACAAUGGGCAAGGCCGCAAGGGUGAAGGGGUGGCUGCCCCCAUGCGCCUCCCCUCUCUAUAUAUAGGCUAGGGGGCAGCGGAGGGCGUCCAAAACACUCUUAGGGCCGGCCACAUGGGAGAAAUCCCUUUAAACUUGGAGAUAACAUCUUAUCUCUAGAUUCAACCCUUUAAAUUUAGAGAUAAAACCUAUCUCUAGAUUUAAACGACACGUGCCUUGGGGAAUUGUGCGGCCAGCCCAUGUGGGCUGUAGCCCCACCCCUCGGUCCAUGUGGGCCCUUCCCGGGUCGUUGGGCCCCAUGGUGGAACCCCCAAAAUAUUCUAGAACCUUCCCGGUACUCUACCUAAAAUUCCUGAACAUUUCUGGAACCCUGAAUAUGACUUCCCAUAUACUCCCUCCGUCCGGAAAAGCUUGUCCCUCAAAUGGAUGUAUCUAGCACUAACUUGGUGCUAGAUACGUAGUGCUAGAUACAUCCAUUUGACGGACAAGCUUUUCCGGACGGAGGGAGUAUAAAUCUUUACCUCUGGACCAUUCCGGAGCUCCUCGUGAUGUCCUGGAUCCCAUUCGAGACUCCGAACUACUUUUGGACUUUCCACUAUUAAUAUCUCAACAUUACCCUAGCGCUACCGAACGUUAAGCGUGCGACCCUGCGGGUUCGAGAAUCAUGCAGACAUGACCGAGACACUUCUCCGAUCAAUAACCAAUAGCGGAACCUAGAUGCCCAUAUUGGUUCCUACAUAUUCAACGAAGAUCUUCAUCCGUUGUACCAUGAUGUCGAGGAUUCAGAUAAUCCCGUAUGCAAUUCCCUUUGUCCGGCGAUAUGUUACUUGCUCGAGAUUCGAUCGUUGGUAUAUUCAUACCUAGUUCAAUCUUGUUAUUGGCAAGUCUUUUUACUCGUUCCAUAAUACAAGAUCCCAUGACUAAACUCAUUAGUCACAUGAAGCUUCUUGUGAUGUUGUAUUACCGAGAGGGCCCAAAGAUAUCUCUCCGUCACACGGAGCUACAAAUCCCGGUCUCGAUCCAUGCAACCCAAUAGACACCUUCGGAGAUACCUGUAGAGCACCUUUAUGAUCACCCAGUUACGAAGUGACGUUUGAUAGCACACAAAGUAUUCCUCAGGUAUCCAGGAGUGGCAUGAUUCCAUGGUCUGAGCAACUGAUACUUGACAUGAAGAAAGCUAUAGCAAAUAACAACUAUCUUUUGCCAAGCUUACGGUUGGGUCCGUCCAUCACAUCAUUCUCCUAAUGAUGUGAUCCCGUUAUAGCAAAUAACAACUAUCUUUUGCUAAGCUUACGGUUGGGUCCGUCCAUCACAUCAUUCUACUAUGGUUAGGAAACAUUAACCAUCUUUGAUCAACGAGCUAGUCCAGUAGAGGCCUAUUAGGGACAUGGUGUUGUUUAUGUAUUUACACAUGUAUAUAAGUUUCCGGUCAGUACAAUUCUAGCAUGAAUAAUAAUACAAGUGCUCGUCCCGGGCACGGCGAGGCGCAGGGCGGUGACUGCCGCGGCUAGAUGCAGAGCGCAACGAGGAGCUACCUGAGAGCACGGGUGUGCGCGCGGGUGCUCAAGGCGCGACGAGUGCGGACGGAUCCGGAGCGGGGUGCACAGGCAGCCACGGUAAUCACAGCAAAGAGAACGAACUCCUCUGGAACACCGAGAGCACAGGAAAGGUACGGACAAAGCGAUGCCUACGGUGAUCUAUUGACAAUGAGAAGGAGCAGGAAGGAAGGCACGGCUCACCUAGCGUUUAACGGACAUGGAUGAGUGGCCGGGGAGGCGACGGAGGGUCGACUCGAGCUGCUAACUGAGGCGGCGUUCGCUGUUGCGAAGCAGAGGAAGCAGUGGAGGUGGCCGUCGAUGUAGGACUUGGCGUUCCCUUGGUGAUGUAGUGGAAGUAGAGGAAGUAGGGGAAGAAGAGGCGGCUCCUGGACACGCUCAAGCUCCCUGGGCUUGCCGUCGGACGCGUCGGUGACGUGCAUGGGCUCUCUCUCACUCACGGUUCUCCUAGGGGAAGGGGAACAGCGGCAGGGGAGAGCCCCCUUGGGUGGCGGCGGAGAUGGGGAAAACCUAGGGGAGUAGGUGCAGACGCCGAGGACUUAUAGGAGGGGUUAAACGACGCGCCUUGGUGUUCGUGACGGGCUCAUGGCGUUGAGCCGAAGCUCCUUGCCUGGAGGUAGGAGACGGCGACGGGAGGGAGUAGGUGACCGUGAGGGAGAGG
Molecule: long non-coding RNA, 2493 nt
Filed under: Triticum aestivum (bread wheat)
Lineage: Eukaryota; Viridiplantae; Streptophyta; Magnoliopsida; Poales; Poaceae
Description: long non-coding RNA (TAES_LNC020692)
Rfam family: MIR1120/MIR1122 microRNA precursor family (bases 662-790)
Source: RNAcentral